UACAGAGGGUGCAAGCGUUGUUCGGAAUUAUUGGGCGUAAAGGGCUCGUAGGCGGCCAACUAAGUCAGACGUGAAAUCCCUCGGCUUAACCGGGGAACUGCGUCUGAUACUGGAUGGCUUGAGUUUGGGAGAGGGAUGCGGAAUUCCAGGUGUAGCGGUGAAAUGCGUAGAUAUCUGGAGGAACACCGGUGGCGAAGGCGGCAUCCUGGACCAACACUGACGCUGAGGAGCGAAAGCCAGGGGAGCAAACGGG
RNAcentral lists this ribosomal RNA (253 nucleotides) under uncultured bacterium. Its description in RNAcentral is "partial 16S ribosomal RNA". It matches the Rfam family "Bacterial small subunit ribosomal RNA", at positions 524 to 776 of the family's 1533-position model. The record is from RNAcentral.